UAAUACAGAGGGUGCAAGCGUUAAUCGGAAUUACUGGGCGUAAAGGGCGCGUAGGUGGUUGUUUAAGUGAGGUGUGAAAUCCCCGGGCUUAACCUGGGACGUGCAUCUUAUACUGGGCAACUGGAGUGCAAUAGAGGGUAGUGGAAUUUCCGGUGUAGCGGUGAAAUGCGUAGAUAUCGGAAGGAACACCAGUGGCGAAGGCGGCUACCUGGAUUGACACUGACACUGAGGCGCGAGAGCGUGGGGAGCAAACAGGAUUAGAUACCCUGGUAGUCCACGCUGUAAACGAUGAAAACUAGAUGUUGUUGGGCUUAGACCCAUCAGUAUCGAAGCUAACGCGAUAAGUUUUCCGCCUGGGGAGUACGGUCGCAAGAUUA
RNAcentral lists this ribosomal RNA (377 nucleotides) under uncultured bacterium. RNAcentral describes it as "bacterial SSU rRNA". It matches the Rfam family "Bacterial small subunit ribosomal RNA", at positions 521 to 896 of the family's 1533-position model. The record is from RNAcentral.